GUAAGUUUAAGUUUACUUAACGCAUACAGUGGAUGCCUUGGCUUAGAUUACCGAAGAAGGACGUGCAAGACUGCGAUAAGCGUCGGCUAGCUGUCACGAAGCGUUUAACCGGCGAUGUCCGAAUGGGGAAACCCGGCUAGGCUUAUACCUAGUCACUUCAAAGUGAAAGUUCUGAUUUAUCAGGAUAUAGCUUUGAAAGAGGGAACCGUCCGAACUGAAACAUCUUAGUAGGACGAGGAAGAGAAAUCAAUGAGAUUCCGUUAGUAGCGGCGAGCGAAAUCGGAACAGCCCAAACCAUCUGGUUUCCUUUGGGAAAUUGGAUGGGGUUGUGGGACCCAACGUGGUAGCUCAAACGAUAGUAGAACAGUGUGGAAUAAUUGACCAUAGAACGUGAUAGUCGUGUAUACGAAAUCUUUUGAGCGCCUAGGGAAAUCCCAAGUACCUUGGUGUAAAUACUCUGAGGGAAUCCGGGGGAACCAUCCUCCAAGGCUAAAUAUAAUCUAAGACCGAUAGUGAACUAGUACCGAGAGGGAAAGGUGAAAAGAAGGGCGGGACGCCCAGUGAAAUAGAACCUGAAACUGUAUGCGGACAAACCGAUAGAGCUUUGUGCUUGCACAGGGUGAUAUCGUGCCUAUUGAAGAAUGAGCCAGCGAGUUGUCUUAUAGUGCUUAGUUUAAGCCCUACGGGGUGUAGACGCAGGGAAACCGAGUUUUAAAAAGCGAAUUUGUACUAUGAGGCAGACCCGAAACCAGGCGAGCUAUCCAUGAGCAGGGUGAAUCCCGCGUAACAGCGGGUGGAGGCCCGAACCCGUACCAGAUGCAAUUGGUUGGGAUGACUUGUGGAUCGGAGUAAUAUGCUAAUCGUGCUUGGAGAUAGCUGGUUCUCCCCGAAAGGUGUUUAGGCACCGUGGUCGUGGAAAAUUAUGAGGUGGUAGAGCUACUGAAUGGGGCAGCGAGGGCAACUGAGUUGUCUCAACCAAACUCCGAAUAACUCAUAAUCUGCGCGGCUAGACAGCCACAUGGGGCUAAGCUCAUGUGACAAAAGGGAAACAACCCAGACUCUCGGCUAAGGUCUCUAAAUCUUGACUAAGUUUGAAAGGAAGUCACAUCUCUCAGACAGCUAGGAGGUUGGCUUAGAAGCAGCCAUCCUUUAAAGAAAGCGUAACAGCUCACUAGUCGACCGAUAUGUGGCGCCGAAGAUGUACCGAGGAUUAAGUCAAGUACCGAAGCUGGAGAUGGUCAAAGUUUCGCUCUGCACCUGGAUUGAAAACCGUGUAGUGGGGAACACUGCAUGGGUGGCGUUUCGCCUGUAUCCAAGUGUGCAGUGAGGCUUUGACCGUGGUAGGGGAGCGUUCUAAGGGCUUUGAAGCUAUUCGUGUAAACGGUGGUGGAGCGCUUAGAAGUGAGAAUGCUGGCAUAAGUAACUUACAAGUCCGGUGAGAAUCCGGACCGCCGAAUGCUCAAGGAUUCCCUGGUGAAGAUCGUCUUCCAGGGGUUAGUCGGCUCCUAAGGCGAGGCCAUAAAGGCGUAGUCGAUGGAUAACGGGUUAAUAUUCCCGUACUUGUUUAGUUUUGUUUGUACUCGCAAGAGUCGUGCGCGCAAGCGCAGAGCUGGGGAUUGACUGGGUUGGAGAUUAUGAAGCCAGUUCGCGAAGUCUGGUGUAAGUUGUUAGAUAGUUCGUAUAGGGAAAUCCGUACGAAUGAUUAAUCGAGCAAUUAUGCAGAGUCUGGUUAACGCCGGGCGAUUUCAUAUAUUCAACCUACGAGAAAAGGUUCGCAGUUAGAAACUAAUCAAGCCGUACCAAAACCAACACAGGUGAGCAGGUCGAGUAGACCAAGGCGAGCGAGAGAAAGAGGCUUAAGGAACUCGGCAAGAAAACUACCCGUAACUUCGGGAGAUGGGUUUCCUCCAUUGCUAUUUUAAUGGGGGACGCAGCGAAAGUUUGCUAAUCGACUGUUUAUCAAAAACACAGGUCCGUGCAAAAUCGUAAGAUGACGUAUACGGGCUGACGCCUGCCCAGUGCCGGUAAGUUAAACGGAGGGGUGUUUGAUCUUCGGAUCAUAUGCUCUGAUGCGAAGCUCCGGUAAACGGCAGCAGUAACUAUAACUGUUCUACGGUAGCGAAAUUCCUUGUCACUUAAUUGGUGACCCGCACGAAAGGCGUAACGAGUUAGCAACUGUCUCGAGCCUCUACUCGGUGAAUUUGCGAUGGCUGUGAAGACGCGGCCUACUUCCACCAGGACAAGAAGACCCCGUGAAGCUUUACUACAGCUUAACAUUGAUAUGUGCAUUUUAAGUGCCUAGUGUAGGAGGGAGCCUUCGGGCGCCAAUGUAACACCUCUCUUUGAGAUGUGGCAUAUCUUACUUACCCCGCCUGGACGGCGGGAGGAACAGUGUUAGGUAGGUAGUUUGUCUGGGGCGGAUCCCUGCCAAAGAGUAACGCAGGGGUACAAAGGUUGGCUUGGCACGGAUGGACAUCGUGCUGAAAGUACAAAGGCAGAAGCCAGCUUAACUGCGAGACUGACGGGUCAAGCAGAUGCGAAAGCAGGUCUUAGUGAUCCUCCGAUCCACCAUGGGUGUGGACGGAGCUUAACGGAUAAAAGCUACUCCGGGGAUAACAGAGUAGUCGCACCCGAGCGUCCAUAGCGACGGUGCGGUUCGCUACCUCGAUGUCGGCUCAGGGUAUCCUGGGGCUGGAGAAGGUCCCAAGGGUUGGUCUGUUCGCCCAUUAAAACCCUACGUGAGCUGGGUUCAAACCGUCGUGAGACAGGUUGGACUGUAUCCGGUGGGAGCGUAAGAAUCUUGAGAAGAGCUCUCCUCAGUACGAGAGGACCAGGAGGGGGGAAUCCCUAGUGUGCCGGUUGUCAUGUCAGUGGCAAAGCCGGGUAGCUACAUUCCUCGCGGAUAACCGCUGAAAGCAUCUUAAGCGGGAAGCCCACUUCAAGAUGAGGAUUCUUUUUAGACUCAUGGAAGAAUACCAUGUAUAUCGUCAGGCAGUGGAAGUCGUGUAAGCGAUUAAGCUAACCUUGUACGAAUUAGUCGA
Molecule: ribosomal RNA, 3041 nt
Filed under: Chloroflexota bacterium
Lineage: Bacteria; Bacillati; Chloroflexota
Description: bacterial LSU rRNA
Rfam family: Bacterial large subunit ribosomal RNA
Source: RNAcentral